This is a non-coding RNA of Salmo salar (Atlantic salmon), 186 nucleotides long. NCBI's taxonomy places the organism in Eukaryota, Metazoa, Chordata, Actinopteri, Salmoniformes, Salmonidae. The record is from Rfam.
UGUGGUAAAGUGACCGAUCCCGGAGAAGCUGGCGGGAGUCCCAGGGAGAGUUCUCUUUUCUUUGUGAAGGGCAGGGCACCCUGGAAUGGGUUUGCCCCAAGAGAGGGGCCCAAGCCCUGGAAAGCGUUGCGUUUCGGUGGCGUCCGGAGAGCUCUCCCUGGCCCUUGAAAAUCCGGGGGAGAGAGU